UGGGAUUUUCCACUGCUAUGGUCAAGGCAAUUUUUAUCUUCAGACAGUCUUUUUGUGGCCCCAAUGUGAUCAAUCAUUUUUUUUGUGACAUCUCCCCCUUGUUAAAUCUUUCUUGCACUGACAUGUCCUUUACAGAGUUGGUGGAUUUUAUCUUGGCAAUGGUAAUAAUUAUGAUUCCGCUUGUGUUUAUAAUUAUCACUUACAUGUG
Pelobates cultripes (western spadefoot toad) is the source of this 208-nucleotide non-coding RNA. NCBI's taxonomy places the organism in Eukaryota, Metazoa, Chordata, Amphibia, Anura, Pelobatidae. The record is from the annotation of a GenBank genome assembly.